Molecule: ribosomal RNA, 468 nt
Filed under: uncultured bacterium
Lineage: Bacteria
Description: partial 16S ribosomal RNA
Rfam family: Bacterial small subunit ribosomal RNA
Source: RNAcentral
GACGAACGCUGGCGGCGUGCUUAACACAUGCAAGUCGAACGGAAAGGCCCUGCUUUUGUGGGGUGCUCGAGUGGCGAACGGGUGAGUAACACGUGAGUAACCUGCCCUUGACUUUGGGAUAACUUCAGGAAACUGGGGCUAAUACCGGAUAGGAGCUCCUGCUGCAUGGUGGGGGUUGGAAAGUUUCGGCGGUUGGGGAUGGACUCGCGGCUUAUCAGCUUGUUGGUGGGGUAGUGGCUUACCAAGGCUUUGACGGGUAGCCGGCCUGAGAGGGUGACCGGCCACAAUGGGACUGAGAUACGGCCCAGACUCCAACGGGAGGCAGCAGUGGGGAAUAUUGCAAAAUGGGCGGAAGCCUGAUGCAGCAACGCCGGGUGCGGGAUGACGGCCUUCGGGUUGUAAACCGCUUUCGCCUGUGACGAAGCGUGAGUGACGGUAAUGGGUAAAGAAGCACCGGCUAACUACGUG